Long non-coding RNA from Drosophila pseudoobscura, 639 nucleotides. RefSeq lists it as uncharacterized. The record is from RefSeq and is a predicted model, not a curated record. NCBI's taxonomy places the organism in Eukaryota, Metazoa, Arthropoda, Insecta, Diptera, Drosophilidae. The transcript is spliced from 2 exons.
AAUAGAUUCAAUCAUUUACCGCAUUGCAACUGUUAAUAUCCGAUAUCUCACCACUUUCGAUAAAAUCAAGAAGUUUUGUUAAAUCUCCACUGCGGGCAGCUCGUAAAAAUGAUAUCGUUGAGUCGUUCUGUCAAUAAAGGAGUACGUCACCACACCGCAGUACCAUCCGGCCCUAAUAUCUCGUUCACUCCGCCAGUUACGACACAGAUGGGGAAGAGAGUGAAAGCGAACAAGUGCGCCUGCAAUGUGUCUACAGGACUUUUCCAUUUUGUUGUAUUUUAAAAAUUGUGGAUGUAUUUUCUCGUUCUGUGAGCGCGGUUACAAUGUUUAAUAUUGAGUAAAAAAAAAGAAUGUAGAUAUUUUAAGACUUGACCUGAAAUUCGUAGCUUCUGACACUCGUAAAUUUAUUAUUACAAAAUUUGUUGAUCUUAAUUGGCUAAAUUAAAUAAAGUGAUGCAUACAUACAUAUAUAAAUCAUUAUAGCACCUAGUUUCCAUGUUAAAAAUGGAAUGUACAUAUGUAAACGCCAUUUCCGCGCUUACAAAGACAAGCUACUAUUUUAAGUUUCAUCGGUGUUGACAGUAUAUGUAGUGUAUAAAUAAAUUUUCGACUAAAUAUGUACAUAUUUAUGUUACAUUA